Vidua macroura (Pin-tailed whydah) is the source of this 3210-nucleotide long non-coding RNA. RefSeq lists it as uncharacterized. The record is from RefSeq and is a predicted model, not a curated record. The transcript has 3 exons. NCBI's taxonomy places the organism in Eukaryota, Metazoa, Chordata, Aves, Passeriformes, Viduidae.
GGACAUGCAGGAGGUAUCCUGAAAUUUGUUUAAUUUAGAGUCUCCCGGAGAUGGGAUUUUUUGGGGGUUUACAACCUGCAAUGUCCGAGCUUGGAUCUGGCUGAAUUUGGAGUGGUGCCAGUCAGGAAUUUCUGUGGAGUUUCUUUCCAUCAUUAGUGAAGAGAAACUCAACAUCUCUGAGCUGAGAGCUCGGAAAAUAACUUUGGAGUGGUUUUUGAUGGCAUCUCUCUGUCAGCUUAGAGGUGAAAACAUGACUGGGACGUGGGAUGAGGCUGGGUCUCAUUUUGUGACGGAAUAGUGGAACCCAUUCCAAGAGCCCAUGAAUGGAUUUAACUCCUCCUGGAGCUGUGGGGAAUGAGGCACUCUGGAAACAUCCUUUUCCAUCCCUCUGACUGCACUUUCUCUGUGGCAUCUGUUCCCCAUCAGUGGGAGGAUCUCGGUGGAUUUCAGUCUCAUCAGUUUUGUCCACCUGUAACUCUUGGGUUUUCACACCUCUCUUUUUUAUUUCUUUUUCUUCUUUUCUACCAGGUUCAAACAAAAUCCUGGUUUUGCUGAUGACACUGGGGGAAGUUGCCCAGAGAAGCUGUGGCUGCCCCAUCCCUGAAAGUGUCCAAGGUUGGACAGGGCUUGGAACAACCUGGGAGAGUGGAAGGUGUCCCUGCCCAUGGCAGGGGGUAGAAUGGGAUCAUCUUUAAGGUCUUUCCAACCCAAACCAUUCCGGGAUUCUGAAUGUCAGUGCUAUUUCUAAAAUAUCUCGAUUUUCCUCUGCUUUGGAGGUUCUCAGUGUGUGUCCAUCUGUGCAUGUGUGGGUGGUGGUUGCAUUUCAGAAUUUCCAGGACUGUUAUAGCUCUUAUGUUUUUUUCCAAACAACUUCCUCCAGUGUGAGUUCUCCCUCCUGACGGAUCCGGACCCCACUUGGAAGAGUUCUCCAUGGAUGAGGGAAGCUGGAUAAAGAAGCUGAAUUAAAGCCUCUCUCACUGGAGGUGAUUUAAGGAUUCCUCCACAGCAGAACCAUGUAACAAAAAUCCAGAUUUGUUUCAGAUAUUGGACGCAUUUCCCACCCUCCACGUGUUGAUGCUGCCGGUGACAAACUGUGGAAAAAACUCCUGAAGUGUGAGCCAAGAAUUCCCUUCAUCAGCCUUUUGCUAAGGUGCAUAGUUUAUCCCGAUUUUUCCUGAUUUAUCCCAGCCUCAACCUCGCUCAGACACAUUCCCAAGGCGUGUCUCCUCCGAGCCUCUUGGGAGCACCAUUUCCACGUCUCUCUGGACUGGCUGGACACGUCACCAUCGCCGUCCCUGUCCCGGGGUGUCUCAGGCCAGGAAUGGGUCCUGAGGGGAGAAGUGACCCGUGGAAUGUGAGGAGGAGGAGCUGGAGCCCAGAGGUUGGAUGGGGCAGCCCUGGCAGCUUGCCUGAAACCAGAGAUUCCUGGGAGGUGUCCAAGCCAAUCGCUGAACCCAACUGGAUUUUGUGAACCUGAACUCUGGAGCUGCUCUGGUCCCUGCAGCACUUUGGUUGUCCCAGCUCCCUCUCCCGGCAUCCCAGUGACCCUUUCACAAUCUCUUUGUGUCCCAAGCACAGAGGGAGCAGAGCUGAGCCCGACUCCAGCACAUCCAAAGGUGGGGAAGCAGCCAAGGCCUUGGAAUCCAUCCUGGGCUGGGAGCAGAGCAGAGCCUGAGCUCAGCGCCGGGGCAGCUCCGCACAUGGAACGUGACGGCUUUGGAGAGCGGCACCUCUGCGCUCCUCAGUUCCAGGAAUGUUCUAGGAAGUGGGCAGGAGCCUCCUGGUUUGGUGAGAGCAGGAGCAGCCCCAUUUCCCUGCAGUUUGGGCUCUCAGGAUGCUGCUGUGGCACAGCAGCCCUCGGUGUUCUGGGUGGUGUUUGGGGCUUGGAGCCUCCUGCCCCCCAUUUCCCCCAAGUGCUUUUAUCCCCUUCUCUCUCAUCCCACCAAACCUUUUCCCUGCAGCUGGCAGAAAAUGGGAUUUUCUGGUUAAUACCAAAAUAAAAACAGCAGUGUCCAGCAUGGGAUGGGAGAGGGAAGGGGGAGAGCCAGGGGCUGGGAUGGACAAGGAGCACGGGCUGUACAUCCCAGAGAGCUGGAGGUGCUGCAGGACAGGAAAAUCCCGAAGCAAUCAGCAGAGCUGGGAUGGGAUCUGAGUCCUUUUCCAGCUCCUGCAGCCUUAGGAUUGUUCCUUGUGGGAUUCCUCUCCCUUUUCCCAGGCAGUGCCGAGCGUUUGGGGUUUGUUCCAGGGCUUUUCUUUGUAGUGAUGGGGAAAACAUGAGCAGAGUCACUUCCCCACUCCCUGUAACAGGAAUAAAACAUGAGCAGGAAAAAACAGCUUUUGGUGGGGGCCAAAGGUCUUGCAGAGGUUGCCUCCGUGGAAUGGCAGCGAGCAGAAAUCUCCAAGGAUUUUCCAGGUGCUUUAUUGGAUAUCCUCCCUGUGUUAGUCCAGGUUCCAUCCUCCCUCUGGGAAGGAUUCAGACCCUGGGGUUGUGUUGACUUCGAGCCUGAUUUGAUUCCUUUCCCUGGGGAAUGCACACACCCCCAAAAUGGAUGGCUGGAAAAGUGGGUCCAGCCUUUGCUGUGAGGGAGGAACUUGUGAUCCCCUCCAAAGCCCUGGCAGUCCCAAAGCCCUGGGAUUGGAUCUUGCUUGGAUUUUCCUCCUUCCUUCACUCAUUCACUUCACCAAGCAGCUGGAAUCCAGCACCGGCUCCGACCAAGGAAUGGGAAGAGGGAUGCUCAGGAAUCUCUGGGGUGGGACUGGAUAAUCCUUAAGGUCCUUCCCACCCAAACCAUCCCGGGAUCAUGUGAUUUAUGACCCAAAUUUGCCUUUAUGCCCCACAUCCCCUUCCUCUGCCCCAGCCAGGCAAACUCCUUCCCUGCACCCCAAAUCUCUCCGGAAAAACACAGAGAGAGAAUGGAAGAAUCCGACUGAGGGGCUGAAAUGGGUUAAGGAGCAAGAUUAGAUCAAAUAUUUCUGAGCAUCUGGGGCUUCUUGACCACCCCAUUGUGGCCCAUCCCUGGCUGUCAGACCCUGAGCAUUCCCAGAAGGAGUUAAGGGAGACCUGGGCGGGAGCCAAGAGCUUUUGCCGGAAGCUUUAUCUUCCCCCCAAAAAGAAUCUGAUGUCUGGAGCUCUGGACGAGGCAUUGUCCUCAUAAAACACAACAAGAACAACAAAACAAGCCCUGCUAUUCCCAGCUCUGUAACAAGCCA